RNAcentral lists this ribosomal RNA (440 nucleotides) under uncultured bacterium. RNAcentral describes it as "partial 16S ribosomal RNA". It matches the Rfam family "Bacterial small subunit ribosomal RNA", at positions 338 to 795 of the family's 1533-position model. The record is from RNAcentral.
CCUACGGGUGGCAGCAGUGGGGAAUAUUGCACAAUGGGGGAAACCCUGAUGCAGCGACGCCGCGUGAGUGAAGAAGUAUUUCGGUAUGUAAAGCUCUAUCAGCAGGGAAGAAAAUGACGGUACCUGAUUAAGAAGCCCCGGCUAACUACGUGCCAGCAGCCGCGGUAAUACGUAGGGGGCAAGCGUUAUCCGGAUUUACUGGGUGUAAAGGGAGCGUAGACGGCAGCACAAGUCUGGAGUGAAAUGCCGGGGCUUAACCCUAGAACUGCUUUGGAAACUGUGCAGCUUGAGUGCAGGCGAGGUAAGUGGAAUUCCUGGUGUAGCGGUGAAAUGCGUAGAUAUUAGGAGGAACACCAGUGGCGAAGGCAGCUUGCUGAAGCGGAACUGACGCUGAUGCUCGAAAGCGCGGGUAUCGAACAGGAUUAGAUACCCGGGUAGUC